CCUACGGGUGGCUGCAGUGGGGAAUAUUGGACAAUGGGGGCAACCCUGAUCCAGCCAUGCCGCGUGUGUGAAGAAGGCCCUCGGGUUGUAAAGCACUUUCAGUGAGGAAGAACGCCUGGUGGUUAAUACCCAUCAGGAAAGACAUCACUCACAGAAGAAGCACCGGCUAACUCCGUGCCAGCAGCCGCGGUAAUACGGAGGGUGCGAGCGUUAAUCGGAAUUACUGGGCGUAAAGCGCGCGUAGGUGGCUGGAUAAGCCGUUGUGAAAGCCCCGGGCUCAACCUGGGAACGGCAUCCGGAACUGUCAAGCUAGAGUGCAGGAGAGGAAGGUAGAAUUCCCGGUGUAGCGGUGAAAUGCGUAGAGAUCGGGAGGAAUACCAGUGGCGAAGGCGGCCUUCUGGACUGACACUGACACUGAGGUGCGAAAGCGUGGGUAGCAAACAGGAUUAGAUACCCUAGUAGUC
Molecule: ribosomal RNA, 464 nt
Filed under: Vreelandella stevensii
Lineage: Bacteria; Pseudomonadati; Pseudomonadota; Gammaproteobacteria; Oceanospirillales; Halomonadaceae
Description: partial 16S ribosomal RNA
Rfam family: Bacterial small subunit ribosomal RNA
Source: RNAcentral